CUUUCUUUGCUGACGAGCGGCGGACGGGUGAGUAAUGCCUGGGAAAUUGCCCUGAUGUGGGGGAUAACCAUUGGAAACGAUGGCUAAUACCGCAUGAUGCCUACGGGCCAAAGAGGGGGACCUUCGGGCCUCUCGCGUCAGGAUAUGCCCAGGUGGGAUUAGCUAGUUGGUGAGGUAAUGGCUCACCAAGGCGACGAUCCCUAGCUGGUCUGAGAGGAUGAUCAGCCACACUGGAACUGAGACACGGUCCAGACUCCUACGGGAGGCAGCAGUGGGGAAUAUUGCACAAUGGGCGCAAGCCUGAUGCAGCCAUGCCGCGUGUAUGAAGAAGGCCUUCGGGUUGUAAAGUACUUUCAGUCGUGAGGAAGGGGGUAUCGUUAAUAGCGGUAUUCUUUGACGUUAGCGACAGAAGAAGCACCGGCUAACUCCGUGCCAGCAGCCGCGGUAAUACGGAGGGUGCGAGCGUUAAUCGGAAUUACUGGGCGUAAAGCGCAUGCAGGUGGUUUGUUAAGUCAGAUGUGAAAGCCCGGGGCUCAACCUCGGAGUUGCAUUUGAAACUGGCAGGCUAGAGUACUGUAGAGGGGGGUAGAAUUUCAGGUGUAGCGGUGAAAUGCGUAGAGAUCUGAAGGAAUACCGGUGGCGAAGGCGGCCCCCUGGACAGAUACUGACACUCAGAUGCGAAAGCGUGGGGAGCAAACAGGAUUAGAUACCCUGGUAGUCCACGCUGUAAACGAUGUCUACUUGGAGGUUGUGGCCUUGAGCCGUGGCUUUCGGAGCUAACGCGUUAAGUAGACCGCCUGGGGAGUACGGUCGCAAGAUUAAAACUCAAAUGAAUUGACGGGGGCCCGCACAAGCGGUGGAGCAUGUGGUUUAAUUCGAUGCAACG
This 886-nucleotide ribosomal RNA is filed under the name Vibrio metschnikovii. Its description in RNAcentral is "bacterial SSU rRNA". It matches the Rfam family "Bacterial small subunit ribosomal RNA", at positions 79 to 961 of the family's 1533-position model. The record is from RNAcentral. Lineage: Bacteria; Pseudomonadati; Pseudomonadota; Gammaproteobacteria; Vibrionales; Vibrionaceae.